UUUUGAGCUUGGCGUAGAUAGAG
This 23-nucleotide microRNA is filed under the name Cordylochernes scorpioides. The record is from RNAcentral. Lineage: Eukaryota; Metazoa; Arthropoda; Arachnida; Pseudoscorpiones; Chernetidae.